This is a long non-coding RNA of Neofelis nebulosa (Clouded leopard), 1497 nucleotides long. RefSeq lists it as uncharacterized. The transcript is spliced from 2 exons. NCBI's taxonomy places the organism in Eukaryota, Metazoa, Chordata, Mammalia, Carnivora, Felidae. The record is from RefSeq and is a predicted model, not a curated record.
UUUGGGAGCUGAGAGGUAGAAGCAAAGGAAAUCAUAAAGAAGAUACUGAGCUGCUUCCAAUAUGGAGUUCCCGAACUCUCCACAGAAAGGCCUGGAAAGAGUGUGAGACACACCAGACUCACCAGCCGUCUUCCAACGACGAGGGUGUCAGAAGCAUCACACAGGUGAUCAUUUCUAUCUCAGUCCCUAGAGUACGGGCCUGGGGAUUCUGCAGGUGGAGUAAGCAGAGAGAAUGCUCCGAACUUCAGCCUGCCAACAGAUACGCACGUCAGUGUGUAAAAGUAAGAAACGAAUACGGUGACGGCCCGCAUUUGAGCGAGGACUGCUCUGGGGCCGGUGCUGAGCACCUUACACGCACCGUCUCCUCACACCACCCCGUGGGUGGGCGCCACUGCAGCUCCAUUUUGUUGAGGCGGAGGCUCAGGGAUGUUAGGGGACUAGCGCGCAGGCAGAGGGUUAAUUCACAGGGAGCCUGGAUUAGCCACCUGGACGUCCACAGGGAGCCGUCCAACUCCACGUCCGGCGUGCGUAACUGCCGCCCACGAGGGAAUACCCGGGAACCUGGAGCCCAGCGACCUGUGUCAAAUGCACGUCUACAGCGAGCACAGAUUCUGUGACACUAAAAGCUCUCCGAAAUGACAUAAAGAAGGUUCCUCGACUACUGUAAGGCCCCAAGAUGCCCGGAUGAGUCACGAUUGACGGGACCUAACUUCACGUGGUGAUUAAAACCAUGAUAAACUUAGUAACUGUACUACUGGAUGCUCUGAAUUUAAGAUAAAAAGAAAGGACAUGAGAGAUAGAUCACCUCUUUUUUACACCAGUCUGCCAUCAGAGUAAAUGAUUACUGAAAUCCAUCCUAAGGCAAAAUAACGAUAAGACCUGAGAUUGCAUGCUACUGAAGUGUGAAAGCUACUCAGAAAGAUAAAACACUCCAAAUGCAAGUUGAUAAACUAAAAAACCCCCAGAAGAUUUGUAACUUUGGAAGAAGACCAAGUGGAGAAAACUUAAUAAAGAGGGACCUCUUUAUUGUAUGUUUAUAAAAUAAUCGUAUAAUAUAGUUAUUAAAAACGGGAGACGAAACUUUUUAUUUUUGAUAUCUUGUGUUUUGCAGUCAAUUUUUAAUCAUCUUCACAGUUUUCGAAACUUGCUUUUUGUCGUCCAGAGUACUUUCUGCAAUCUCUACCCGCCCGCUACUCGCACAACCAAAUAAACUCCCCAACAGGUUCAAGUGAGAGACCUACUAUCAAAUAAAUUACUCUAAUGACUCACGAAUGAAGACUGAAGAGUUUCAAAGAAAUACAAUAAAAACAAAAAUAUAUGGAGCAUAAUUUAAUCUUUCAGAUGGUUCACAGAAGGCACCUCAAGACCAUAUUGUGCCAUUUUCCUCAUGCGGUGUGUUUAAGGGCCUAUAACAGAAUUCUGGUUAGUGAAAUUCUGGACAAAAAAAAAAAAUGUUUCCUAUGGAGGGCACACAGCAUCGAAUGACCACGGAUACAA